CCUACGGGUGGCAGCAGUGGGGAAUAUUGGGCAAUGGGCGCAACCCUGACCCAGCAACGCCGCGUGAAUGAAGAAGGCUUUCGGGUUAUAAACUUCUUUUCUCAGGGACGAAGAAAGUGACGGUACCUUAAGAAUAAGCCACUGCUAACUACGUGCCAGCAGCCGCGGUAAUACGUAGGUGGCAAGCGUUAUCCGGAUUUAUUGGGUGUAAAGGGAGUGUAGGCGGGGGCGGAAGUCAGAUGUGAAAACUCAGGGCUCAACCCUGGGGCUGCAUUUGAAACUGUGUUUCUUGAGUGCUGGAGAGGCAAGCGGAAUUCCGAGUGUAGCGGUGAAAUGCGUAGAUAUAAGGAGGAACACCAGUGGCGAAGGCGGAUUGCUGGACAGUAACUGACGCUGAGGCGCGAAAGCGUGGGGAGCAAACAGGAUUAGAUACCCGUGUAGUC
RNAcentral lists this ribosomal RNA (443 nucleotides) under uncultured bacterium. RNAcentral describes it as "partial 16S ribosomal RNA". It matches the Rfam family "Bacterial small subunit ribosomal RNA", at positions 338 to 795 of the family's 1533-position model. The record is from RNAcentral.